RNAcentral lists this ribosomal RNA (496 nucleotides) under uncultured bacterium. Its description in RNAcentral is "partial 16S ribosomal RNA". It matches the Rfam family "Bacterial small subunit ribosomal RNA", at positions 28 to 506 of the family's 1533-position model. The record is from RNAcentral.
GAUGAACGCUGGCGGCGUGCCUAAUACAUGCAAGUCGAGCGAACAGAUGAGGAGCUUGCUCCUCUGACGUUAGCGGCGGACGGGUGAGUAACACGUGGAUAACCUACCUAUAAGACUGGGAUAACUUCGGGAAACCGGAGCUAAUACCGGAUAAUAUAUUGAACCGCAUGGUUCAAUAGUGAAAGACGGUUUUGCUGUCACUUAUAGAUGGAUCCGCGCCGCAUUAGCUAGUUGGUAAGGUAACGGCUUACCAAGGCAACGAUGCGUAGCCGACCUGAGAGGGUGAUCGGCCACACUGGAACUGAGCCACGGUCCAGACUCCUACGGGAGGCAGCAGUAGGGAAUCUUCCGCAAUGGGCGAAAGCCUGACGGAGCAACGCCGCGUGAGUGAUGAAGGUCUUCGGAUCGUAAAACUCUGUUAUUAGGGAAGAACAAAUGUGUAAGUAACUAUGCACGUCUUGACGGUACCUAAUCAGAAAGCCACGGCUAACUACGU